This 370-nucleotide ribosomal RNA is filed under the name uncultured organism. Its description in RNAcentral is "bacterial SSU rRNA". It matches the Rfam family "Bacterial small subunit ribosomal RNA", at positions 526 to 896 of the family's 1533-position model. The record is from RNAcentral.
CGUAGGCAGCAAGCGUUGUUCGGAGUUACUGGGCGUAAAGAGUGCGUAGGCGGUGCUCUAAGUUUGGUGUGAAAUCUCCCGGCUCAACUGGGAGGGUGCGCCGAAAACUGGAGUGCUUGAGUGUGGGAGAGGCAAGCGGAAUUCCUGGUGUAGCGGUGAAAUGCGUAGAUAUCAGGAGGAACACCUGUGGUGUAGACAGCUUGCUGGACCAUAACUGACGCUGAGGCACGAAAGCGUGGGUAGCAAACAGGAUUAGAUACCCUGGUAGUCCACGCCCUAAACGAUGCAUACUUGGUGUGAGCCAUUCAUUUGGUUCGUGCCGGAGCUAACGCGUUAAGUAUGCCGCCUGGGGAGUACGGUCGCAAGGCUG